RNAcentral lists this ribosomal RNA (500 nucleotides) under uncultured bacterium. RNAcentral's name for it is "partial 16S ribosomal RNA". It matches the Rfam family "Bacterial small subunit ribosomal RNA", at positions 30 to 523 of the family's 1533-position model. The record is from RNAcentral.
AUUGAACGCUGGCGGCAUGCCUUACACAUGCAAGUCGAACGGUAACGGGUCCUUCGGGAUGCCGACGAGUGGCGAACGGGUGAGUAAUAUAUCGGAACGUGCCCAGUAGUGGGGGAUAACUGCUCGAAAGAGCAGCUAAUACCGCAUACGACCUGAGGGUCAAAGGGGGGGAUCGCAAGACCUCUCGCUAUUGGCGCGUCGGAUAUCAGAUUAGCUAGUUGGUGGGUUAAAGGCCUACCAAGGCAACGAUCUGUAGUUGGUCUGAGAGGACGACCAGCCACACUGGGACUGAGACACGGCCCAGACUCCUACGGGAGGCAGCAGUGGGGAAUUUUGGACAAUGGGCGCAAGCCUGAUCCAGCAAUGCCGCGUGCAGGAAGAAGGCCUUCGGGUUGUAAACUGCUUUUGUCAGGGAAGAAAUCUUCUGGGCUAAUACCCCGGGAGGAUGACGGUACCUGAAGAAUAAGCACCGGCUAACUACGUGCCAGCCGCCGCCGUAA